AUACCAGCCCCGCGAGUGGUCGGGACGGUUAUUGGGCCUAAAGCGCCCGUAGCCGGCCCGGUAAGUUCCCGCCGAAAUCCCUGGGCUCAACCCGGGGGCCUGCGGGAAUACUGCCGGGCUAGGGGGCGGGAGAGGCCGGGGGUACUCCCGGGGUAGGGGCGAAAUCCUAUAAUCCCGGGAGGACCACCAGUGGCGAAGGCGCCCGGCUGGAACGCGCCCGACGGUGAGGGGCGAAAGCCGGGGGAGCGAACCGGAUUAGAAACCCUAGUAGUCC
RNAcentral lists this ribosomal RNA (274 nucleotides) under uncultured bacterium. RNAcentral's name for it is "partial 16S ribosomal RNA". It matches the Rfam family "Archaeal small subunit ribosomal RNA", at positions 473 to 747 of the family's 1478-position model. The record is from RNAcentral.